Molecule: non-coding RNA, 29 nt
Filed under: Rattus norvegicus (Norway rat)
Lineage: Eukaryota; Metazoa; Chordata; Mammalia; Rodentia; Muridae
Source: RNAcentral
UGCUAUCAGUGAUCAUAGUUUGAAGUCGG